GUGGGGAAUUUUGGACAAUGGGCGCAAGCCUGAUCCAGCAAUGCCGCGUGCAGGAAGAAGGCCUUUGGGUUGUAAACUGCUUUUGUACGGAACGAAACGGUUCUCUCUAAUACAGGGAGCUAAUGACGGUACCGUAAGAAUAAGCACCGGCUAACUACGUGCCAGCAGCCGCGGUAAUACGUAGGGUGCAAGCGUUAAUCGGAAUUACUGGGCGUAAAGCGUGCGCAGGCGGUUUUGUAAGACAGAGGUGAAAUCCCCGGGCUCAACCUGGGAGCUGCCUUUGUGACUGCAAGGCUGGAGUGCGGCAGAGGGGGAUGGAAUUCCGCGUGUAGCAGUGAAAUGCGUAGAUAUGCGGAGGAACACCGAUGGCGAAGGCAAUCCCCUGGGCCUGCACUGACGCUCAUGCACGAAAGCGUGGGGAGCAAACAGGAUUAGAUACCCCGGUAGUCC
This 450-nucleotide ribosomal RNA is filed under the name uncultured bacterium. RNAcentral's name for it is "partial 16S ribosomal RNA". It matches the Rfam family "Bacterial small subunit ribosomal RNA", at positions 354 to 796 of the family's 1533-position model. The record is from RNAcentral.